This 253-nucleotide ribosomal RNA is filed under the name uncultured bacterium. RNAcentral's name for it is "partial 16S ribosomal RNA". It matches the Rfam family "Bacterial small subunit ribosomal RNA", at positions 524 to 776 of the family's 1533-position model. The record is from RNAcentral.
UACGGAGGGUGCGAGCGUUGUCCGGAAUCACUGGGCGUAAAGGGCGCGUAGGCGGCAUGCCAAGCGUGUGGUGAAAGCCCGGGGCUCAACCCCGGGUCGGCCGUGCGGACUGGCGUGCUCGAGCACUGUAGGGGCGGGUGGAAUUCCGGGUGUAGCGGUGAAAUGCGCAGAUAUCAGGAGGAACACCAAUGGCGAAGGCAGCUCGCUGGGACGUGACUGACGCUGAGACGCGAAAGCGUGGGGAGCAAACAGG